AGAGUAUGAUACCGGCUCAGGACGAACGCUGGCGGCGUGGAUUAGGCAUGCAAGUCGAACGAGAAUCUUAACUUCGGUUAUGAAGAGAGUGGCGAAAGGGUGAGUAACGCGUAGGUAAUUUGCCCUUGAGACAGGAAUAACAUCCCGAAAGGGUUGCUAAUACCUGAUAACAUCUAUUAACCCUCGGGUUUUUGGAUCAAAUGAAGGCUCUGCUUUCGCUCAAGGAGAAACCUGCGUCCUAUUAGCUUGUUGGUGGGGUAAUGGCCUACCAAGGCGAUGAUGGGUAGCUGGUCUGAGAGGAUGGUCAGCCACAUUGGGACUGAGACACUGCCCAAACUCCUACGGGAGGCUGCAGUCGAGAAUAUUUCGCAAUGGGGGAAACCCUGACGAUGCGACGCCGCGUGGGGGAUGAAGGUCUUCGGAUUGUAAACUCCUGUUCUACAAGAAGAACGAGCAGUUAGUGAUAAGCUAACUGCUGUGACUGUAUUGUAGCAGCAAGCCCCAGCUAACUACGUGCCAGCAGCUGCGGUAAUACGUAGGGGGCAAGCGUUGUCCGGAAUUACUGGGCGUAAAGCGCACGCAGGCGGCCAUAUAAGUCGGGUAUGAAAUUGCUUGGCUUAACCAAGCAACUGUAUUCGAUACUGUGUGGCUUGAGUACGAGAGGGGAAAGUGGAAUGUACAGUGUAGCGGUGAAAUGCGUAGAGAUUGUACAGAACACCGGUAGCGAAGGCAGCUUUCUGGCUCGAUACUGACGCUGAGGUGCGAAAGUCUGGGUAGCGAACGGGAUUAGAUACCCCGGUAGUCCAGACCGUAAACGAUGGGUACUAAGUGUAGGGGAUACGACUCUUCUGUGCUGUAGCUAACGCAUUAAGUACCCCGCCUGGGGAGUACGGCCGCAAGGUUAAAACUCAAGGUAAUUGACGGGGGGCCGCACAAGCGGUGGAGCAUGUCGCUUAAUUCGAAGCAACGCGAA
Molecule: ribosomal RNA, 973 nt
Filed under: marine metagenome
Description: bacterial SSU rRNA
Rfam family: Bacterial small subunit ribosomal RNA
Source: RNAcentral